UACGGAGGGGGCAAGCGCUGUCCGGAUUCACUGGGUGUAAAGCGCGUGUAGGCGGGCUGCUGUGUGGCUGGUGAAAGCCCCCCGCUCAACGGGGGAACUGCAUUCGAAACUAGCAGCCUAGAGGAGGGGAGAGGGACCUGGAACUUCCGGUGUAGCGGUAAAAUGCGUGGAUAUCGGAAGGAACGCCAAUGGCGAAGGCAGGCGCCUGGAACGCGCCUGACGCUGAGACGCGAAAGCUAGGGGAGCAAACAGG
This 253-nucleotide ribosomal RNA is filed under the name uncultured bacterium. RNAcentral's name for it is "partial 16S ribosomal RNA". It matches the Rfam family "Bacterial small subunit ribosomal RNA", at positions 524 to 776 of the family's 1533-position model. The record is from RNAcentral.